AACAUAGGAACUGCUUAGUAUGUAAAAAUAACUAGGUGCCAAUUAUGUUUUAUGCUUUAUCUUUAAAAUUUAUUUACAUAUGAGACACAUGCCUGUGUGCAUAUCUAUGUUUAAAAGUUUUCAUUCGUAGUCCUAUGUGUUGAAAUAUUUUCCAAUGGCUGGUUAAUGUUCUCUUCUAGUCUUUAGAGAUCUGAUAAAGUUAAGGCUGCUAGGUCUGUUACAAUAUUUUUUAAUUUAAAAUGCCAAAAAAUUGUUCUUAGUUAUUUUUAG
This is a long non-coding RNA of Suncus etruscus (white-toothed pygmy shrew), 270 nucleotides long. RefSeq lists it as uncharacterized. Lineage: Eukaryota; Metazoa; Chordata; Mammalia; Eulipotyphla; Soricidae. The record is from RefSeq and is a predicted model, not a curated record. The transcript has 2 exons.